AUGCCCCAUCCCCAUUGGCGCUCGGUCGCCCAGCUCCCUGUUCCUCCCACUCGCCCAACUCGGAUCUCGAUUUCCUGCUCGGCUCGUCCUUGGCGCUCGACUCCCUGUUUCAGUCUGUUUUUGUCAUCGCGUCGUCGUGUUCGCCGGUAGCCGCCCCGUGGUGCUUGUCUCCGGUGCUCGCUUCGGUCGCGGACGCUAUCGAGCCCGUCGUUCUCCUUGUCCAGUGCUCGUGUGGUUUUCUGCUCGCCAGCGUGCCCUCUCGGCUCGCUCGGCCUUAAUCCCCAUCGCGUUGUCGACCUGGCCGAUUGUCGUCGUUAAUAUGGAGAGAUUCCAAGAAUUGCGGAUGGAAGAGAAAGUAAAGCUCCAGUCUAUACUCAUCAGUUGUCUGACCGAAGACUUCAAUCGAAGACUGUCGCCGUUCUCGCAAAUAUUGAAUGAAGUUAAUAACGGUGAGCCAAAUCACUAUUUUUACUAUAGAUUUUAUGAUCGUGAAAUAAGACGCUUGGUUUGAGUAUGAAGUUUAAGUUAGAAAUACCCGGGAUGCGAGGUGUGCUUUGAGGAGUUUAGUUGCCGAGUAUAUUCGAACUAGUUCUAUUUUGCAGAGUGUAGUAUUUUGAUGAAUGCGAUGUGAUUACUUUCGUAAUUUUAGAAUAGUCGCGUUGGGUAGAUUUGAGAUGUUAAUUAUGUUUAAAAGUGUAUGAUUUGUUGUUCGUAAUGUUUGCGUUAGGUUCGUAUAAUUUAGAGAAGCGUAAUUGUUACGCGUAGUCGUUCGUCGAUAACUAGUGUGUCCGUAUGAACUUGUACAACGCCUCGUCACUAGGUGUUUAAUUCGCUAUCGCGUAACACUAUUUAGGUGUGUAAUAUUCUUGUCGAUAUGCAUUCAUGUGCAUAAUGCAUUCCAUUCAGGUACGUUAAUUAGUCGCGUGAUGCGGAAGAUGACUCAAGUCGACCCCAAGCGUGGGCUACUCCGCAUGGUGAUGCUGAUGAACGAACCUGCCUGAUCAAGUGCUAGGACAAGGAUGAUCGUCAAGUGGACAUCGUCUAACAAACACUAACCUAGUGUUACCCAGGCAAGCCCCGGUGCAUGCAACCCCUUUCCUUGUGUUUUUAAAUACUUUUUGCACACUUAAGUCUAGUGAAAUGUGCAUUAGGUUCAUAGGAGUUACUUGAAACCCUUUGAUGCAUUGCUUUCCUUGAUAUCCAUACCUUUAUAGAUACUUCUGUGAAGUAUCAAAAUUAUGAUUUACAAAAAUGCUUAGCCUUGCUUAGAUCUUGUGGAUAGAGGUUGUCCUCAAUUUAACCAUGGAGAGGAUGGCUUCUACCUGCAAGAAUAUUUUCAUUUGGAGCAAUAGUGGGAUCUUACUGCAAAGUUCCCUGUGAUGCUCUUUCAUCCUAAGGAACAGACACAAUCCUAAGGAUGGAAAUACUUAAAUUGAGACUUGGGUUAGGAACAGGUGAUGUUCUACCCAGGUUGGUUAAGGAUUAACGCGUAUGUAGGCGUGCUGACCGAGGACCCUUUAACUGGUCACAUGCCUCGUCAUGGGUAAGCCUUGCCUCGGGCAGACUAAGGCCGGAAUAAGAUAACACGAAAUGGGCGUGGAGCGGUGGCGAGAGUAGCGUGUACCCUCCGUGGCAAGAGGCUGGACGGUGGUGUAUCUGUGCUCUCGGUUUGCGUGAACCUGAUCCGGUCUUAAGAACCCCGGUGGCGGGUUGACAUAUGCAAGGGUUAAGUGCUACAUAUGUCGUGUGAUUGGAGAUCCUCAGCUGAGUAUAAUCGAUUCGGAUCGCCGUACCUUCGCGGUUAUGAAGACUUGGUCACUUUUCUACAACCUAAAGUCAGGAUGUGAACAUUAUGAAUAAAAAUGAUGUUGUAUUGAUGAGAUGUUGAAAUUAGACUAGAUGCAAAUAGAGUCUAUUAAUACUUAAUAUGGCGUUAAAAGAUUGAAAGUAAGGACUCACUUUAGUAAGCUACUUCUGCAAAAAUAUAAGUUGAUUUUUGCUAAAGCCUCUCCUUGACUCCUAUUUAUCCAGCAUACCCUUGAGAGUCUUUUCCUUAGUCGGGUAAGACUUGCUGAGUAAUUCCAUACUCAGGGUUUUAUUCCCUGUUGUUUUUCAGGUUCUAACCUUGUGCUGUUGUGAUGGUGUUAAGUGCCGGUGGCCGGUGGGCUCGGCCUUCUUAUAUAAGUAUACCCCGUUUUAUCUUCUUAUUGAGGAUGAUCACUUGAGCUAGCAUAUAUUUCAAACUUAUACUUUUGUAAUCACUCCGAUAAAAUAAUGUAAAAUUUUUGUAACCUGUAAAAUUUGGUAAUAAGAUUUCCGCUGCAAAAAUGUUGUGUGUGUGAUUUGUGUUACUUAAUCCCGCGGUUCUAGUUGUAAGUGGUUUAUCCUAUGUCCUUGGGGCAAUCGGACGGAUCCUGUUAAGUUAUUUAGUGCACAUGCAUAGCUGUCUGAGGUCUUUGAGACAAGGACAUGUGCAUGUGGGCCCAAUAACUUGGGAGGUUCUGCCACAGCUGGUAUCGGAGCAGGAUUAAGUAUAUACAGUCACAUACAUAUUUUCAAAACAAAAAUUUUGGUUUCGAAAAACCUAUUUUCAACUAAACAUAUUGUUUGGCUUUGAAAAAUAGUUUUGAAAAACUAUAAUGCUAGCGACAUCCUCUGUUAAGCCCUAAACUAAGGACUAUUAGGUGGCUUAGUUGAAAACCAUAACCCAUAACCGGGUGGGUAUUGCAUACAUGUGUAUUGUUAUUUUUAAGGCCAUUCAGUUCUGAAUGGAUCGACGCUCAAGGUAAGGUGAGAUGUGAGAGCAUGACCGAACAAACGUCGGUCUAGGGGAGAGUAUAAAAAGCGCUUGAUUAUAUACAUAUUUUACAUAUGUAUAUAUGAAGGCUGCGAUGUGGAGUAUUUACUUUUCUGGGAAUUCAGUACCCCAUGGAUGUAUGGGUAUACAGAUGUGGGAAUACUGAGAAGUGUAAUGUACUCGUAACGACGCACCUAUGCUCAGGUAAGAAGGUGAGUUACCAUAAUGAGUUGCCCUAUGGUUAAAGUGUGGCAACGGCGCCUAUGCAUGGCUCGACGCUUAAUGAUGAGCUGGCCUCCAUAUAGAAAUAUAUGGAGUAUAAACUGUGAUAAACUGCCAUGUGUGAACUGCAUCAUUGGGAAUUGGGCUGUGAUGGAUUUUCUGCAGGUACACUAACCUCGAAAACGUAUGUGUAGCUGACGACUAGCAAAAUACCGUGAGAAUCAUACGUAUGCCACCGGUAUAGAACGUUAUUGCCAUAUUAUGUUGGCAAAAUCAGUGAGGACGUGUAGGACGAGCAUGCAUCCUUAUUGUUGCAUCAUGUUUGUCACCUAGACAUCCAAAAUGCUUCUCUUAUCUUUAUUCCAAUAACCAUUGAUUGUAGAUAAUGUGGUGAAAUGCUGAAUUAUGAACUUCGAUGAAAUAGGUGUCCUCCAUUCUUUAGGUGACCUCUUAGGGUGCUUUAUGUGCUUGCCCUUGUGCUUGAUGUGUCGAUAGAAGGUUAGUGACCUGUUUGCCUAAAUCUAGAAUUAGGCCAUGUUCUUAGUUGGUGAACCGAGACCCAAAUUUGAAUUUACCAUUAUCCCUCCAUGACCAACCACAAAAAAAUAAAUGCCUAGAUAACUUACUUGUUGGACAUAAAUUGUAUCUAGGCUUAAACCAAGAAUCUCGAGUCAUGUCCCCAUCCUAAACCAUAUCCUUAAUCAGUUGGUUCAAGCUGAUACCCCUAAUUUCAGUUUGCUUCUUCUUGAGGAUCCUACCGUUGUUUUAUCGACCUAACUUAGGAAAGACAUGUCCGACCAUUUUCUUAAAGUGUGAUGCCUUUGGUUACCUCAUGUCUCUCGAAGGCAUACCCACUAAACCUUGUGAUUGUUUUCCCUACGUAUCUAGUCAGAAACUAAUCCUUGACUUAUAAUCCAUUUGAUGGGCAUAGAAAUAUGCUUGGGGCUGAAUUAACAGUCUCCCAUCGUACUCCUUUUAUCAAGUUUAGGUUAUGGCCAUGUCUUGUUCAUUUCCUUGGGCCAUAAUCUAUUUGGCUCUCUACUUGUAACCCUUCAUACAAGUGGAGUAUCUCUUUGUAUAUUAUCACCCUUGACCAGUCUAUUUUUGUUGUGUGAGAUUUCUUAUUGGUUAUGUCUGGUAUUGGCGUUAUGACUAAAAUUGAUGAUGCUGCGCCAAAACCAAGGGCCUCCUAUGGAUGCAUACACAUGGUUGUGCUGCUCGGUACACGCUGGUAUCACAGUUAGUAGUCAUAAUCCAUUAUGAGAUUAUAUUAAUAGGUUAUCUCUACACAAAUUGUUCUUAUCACGUGAGAUCCAUUAUUGGUGCCAGUUUUGUAAUGGUGUCAUGGUUAAGGACUUAUGGUACCGCGGCAAAACUGAGAGCCUCCUGUGAAUGCGCACACAGGAUUGUGCUACUCGUCGGCUGCUGGUAUCAAGGUCUAUGGUCAUGAUCCAUUAUGGAACUACCCUAAUAUGUUAUCUUCCAUAAACUCCUCCCUUGAAACGAUUUCGGUGUUGUUUGUCAAGUGAUCAAGCAACAUCUAUCAUCUCUAUUGGAUCAAAAGGGCAUACCACUUCCAUGUGUGGUCUCUUUUUCCUUGACUUUGGUAGUGACUACACACAUACGCGUUCCCUUUGCAUCCUUUGUGUAAAGGUGAAGCCUUGAAGCUUUUUAGUGCUAGAAAACAGCGGAAUUACUCUUAAAAUGGAGAUUGGAUUUCCCCUGCUGUUAAAAUGCAGGAGUUUGUUCAUUCGCUCUCUUAUUUAAUCCAUGUAUUCCCUAACCAAGUGGAUAUUGCGUCUCGCAUGAAGAAACAGAUGAACAAUCUGACCAAAUGGAUUUCUACCCAAAUGCAUGACCUUUUGCUUGCAAAUUGAACUCUCAACCCUUGGCUUACCGAUGGUACUGAGAGGACUUGCUCAAUGUCAAAAGUGGUUCAACAAGUUGGUUUUGACUAACUUGUAACUGCCCAAUGAACGAAGGCUGAGUUUAGAGAUCGUUUUAUCGAGUUGUCUAAACUCACUUUGGUUCACCUCACCGUAAAGAAAGUACUUACAAGAAUUGAAAUUAAGUCGGCCUGUAACCACCCAAUUAUCGCUCUAGUCAUGCCUCGAUUGCCUCACAUGUGUUUUUCCAACACGUGUGAUUAGUCGGAGUCAGGCUAGUGUGGGAUGAAAUCGGUUCAUCGUGAAGUCAACAUUUGCUGAUAAUCUUCACUGAUGUUUCCUCGAGUCUCCAUUAGCAUCAUUGGACUUGGAUUUUCUGGCUAACACGAGUAACUGUGAUGUUAUUUGACAUUCACACCCGUCUCGUGUGCUACGAACUCACUGUGACCACUUGUUGGUAAACCUCUUUCUGUGUGUUUUACCCAAGAUGGUGCAUCUGAUUCUGUUUGGGUAAGAUCGCGUAAUUGCCACUCGCUCAACAGACUCAGAUAGUACAGUGUCAUCAGAAAGAGUAAACUACACACAUAGAACCUUAUGUGUACCUCUGGCAGAUAUUGUCUCUUUGGUGGACAUUUCUAAAUUAGCCUAAGGCGAUACAUGUUAUGUCCGCUAGAGAAACCACACUUUGAGACACUUGCCUUUGCUCAGAACUGUCUCACGAUUACCGCUGAUAUGGACAUGGGUUAUAUGCUUCUCUACCCUUAGAAGUCUUUCGCUCCGAAUCUCGGGACGAGAUUCUUUUAAGGGGGGAGGGUUGUAACACCCCAGGUGUUUAUAUUCCGCUCGACAACGAGUAUGGAUUUAAGCGCGUAAUAUCAGUGGAGAAAACAGAUGUUAAAUUUUAAACAUCUUCGUCGAUCGUGAUUUUUAUAUUGCAUUGGUGUCGUCUGUCGCGAGUGCGACAUCGUUUUUAUUUCUAUCUAUCCGGGCUCUUCCUAAAUUUUCGUGUUGUUCGGAACAUAUUUGUUCUAAAAAUCGUUGCGUCCGAUAAUUAUUUAAAAUUCAUCGCUCACGCGAAUACGAAUUCGGAAGCCCGACCCACUCUGAUGAUUUUAUCUCCAAAUAAAUUAAUUUGAACUCGGCGACAAAAGUUAAUGCAAAAACAUUAUAUCGGACCGAGAUAACUUGAUCCGAACUGAGUAUUCGUGAAUAAUUUGUUCCACUAUUUACAAUUAUGGAAAUUUGUCUGAUUCCUAUGUAAACAAAAGCGAACUAAAAUCUCAGUCCGGAUCUCGUUUGAUUCGAUUCGUGUGUAUCCCGUCUCAAUUUAAAUCGUUAAAUAUAAAUAACAGAUAUGAAUUCGACGAAAAUAGUUUUCAGUUCGAAACAAACCAGACAAGUGUAAUUAGAACUGAAAGCGAGUAAUUAGUGAUUAAUUUAGUUCGCUGAUUCAUAGAAAGAAAUGUGUAGUCGUAUAGCGUGUCGACCCAGUGUACAUCGCUAAAAAUCAUGAUCCAAAAUAUUUGCAAUUCUCUUUAAAAAAAGAGAGAAGAAAAGAAAAAUAAAAAACAUCUAGGAAAAUAUCCUUUCAGCCACUCCUAUCUUCAUCCGUUGCCGGGAUUUUUCUCAAGGCACUGAGCAAUUCCCGCACGUUUGUCUCUUCCUUUGAUUUUCUUACCGCUUAACAGCUUCCGUUCUUAUCUCCCUGCGGCAUUCAGCCUCCAGUUCGUUCUUGCCGUGGCCGCGUAAGCUUCGUCGGUCACCUGCAAAAAAAUCACAGCAGUCUUAUCUUCCCAGCCGCUCCUCUAUCCCCAGCCGAUGAGCUCGAUCCUCCCUCAUCUCCCUCCUCUCGGCGUCCUGCUCGGCCCUAUCAUAUUCCCUGGCGCCCGCGCGUGAAAUUUCUCGCCCAGCUCCUUUGUUCUCCCUGCUCAUUCUCCAGUGGAGUCUUCUCUGCGCGGCGCGCUUUGCUCGCCCAACGACGCCGUCAGCCGGAUCUCCUCUGCUCUCUCUGCUCGCCCUGGCCCGCCGUGCUCUGCUCGCCACGGCCGCGUGAGCGGCGAGCUCUCUGCCGCGGCUUCCUUUCUCCCUCGGCUCGCCCCGAUGGCGCUCGGCCGAGCUUCUCCAUCUUCCUCGGUCGCCUCUCUCUGCGCGCCGGCUGCCAGCUCGGUGUUCCAGCCCCACGCGCGCUGCCGGAGCUCGCUCCUGCGCAACCAUGGCGUGCACCCCUCUCCUUCCUCCGUGCUCCAUUGCGUCGAGCUCCUCCCAGCCGAGUUCCUCCCCGGCCCCUUGUUUUCCCCAUGGCCGAAGCCUCUUCCAGCUCCAGCGUCGGCUGCUCCUCCCUGGCCAAACCGCGCCCCUGUAGCCGCGGCACUCCCUCUGGUCGCAGGGACGCGCAUGCCCCAUCCCCAUUGGCGCUCGGUCGCCCAGCUCCGUGUUCCUCCCACUCGCCCAACUCGGAUCUCGAUUUCCUGCUCGGCUCGUCCUUGGCGCUCGGCUCCCUGUUUCAGUCUGUUUUUGUCAUCGCGUCGUCGUGUUCGCCGGUAGCCGCCCCGUGGUGCUUGUCUCCGGUGCUCGCUUCGGUCGCGGACGCUAUCGAGCCCGUCGUUCUCCUUGUCCAGUGCUCGCGUGGUUUUCUGCUCGCCAGCGUGCCCUCUCAGCUCGCUCGGCCUUAAUCCCCAUCGCGUUGUCGACCUGGCCGAUUGUCGUCGUUAAUAUGGAGAGAUUCCAAGAAUUGCGGAUGGAAGAGAAAGUAAAGCUCCAUUCUAUACUCAUCAGUUGUCUGACCGAAGAC
This 7696-nucleotide long non-coding RNA is filed under the name Zea mays. RNAcentral's name for it is "long non-coding RNA (ZMAY_LNC003452)". The record is from RNAcentral. Lineage: Eukaryota; Viridiplantae; Streptophyta; Magnoliopsida; Poales; Poaceae.